Canis lupus familiaris (dog) is the source of this 1370-nucleotide long non-coding RNA. RefSeq lists it as uncharacterized. The record is from RefSeq and is a predicted model, not a curated record. The transcript has 2 exons. NCBI's taxonomy places the organism in Eukaryota, Metazoa, Chordata, Mammalia, Carnivora, Canidae.
AUGCACCGGGAGCCCGAUGUGGGACUCAAUCCCGGGUCUCCAGGAUCAUGCCCUGGGCCAAGGCAGGCGCCAAACCGCUGAUCCCCUAAAUAAAAAAUAUUUUUAAAAAGAAUCAAAGUAAGGUCCUUUUGCAGGGAUUCCAUUACAUAUAAAACAGAUAGAUGGUAUAAAUUAUAAAACUAAGUACAUGUGAUGAAAAGUGCCAUUAUCCAGAUUUAUCCAAUAUGAGUAGCUAUAGUAUUUGAUAUCAAACAGGAUAGGCCAAUUAAAUACACAUUGUCUCGUUUAAGCCUCACAAUAGUUCUUUUAGGCGAGUAGAGUAGAAAUUGUAAACUAUUUUAGAGAAGAAUCUAGUGAGGGACUCGUGGUUUCCAAAGUUGGCUGAUGCUCAAGCUUUUUUUUUUUUUUUUUUUUUUUUUUUUUUAAGAUGUUAUUUAUUCAUUAGAGAAUGAAUGCAUAAGCGGGAACGGUAGAGGCAGAAGAGGCAGAGAAGAAGGAGAAGCAGACUCCCCACUGAGCAGAGGACCCCCCCCUCCCCAACUUGGGGCUCAAUCUCAGGACCCUGAGAUCAUGACCUGAAUGGAAGGCAGAUGCUUAACUGAGCCCCAGGUGCCCCUCACUCUCAAGUUUUCUGAUUUUAGUUUUGUCAUUUAUGGUAUCAUACAGUCCACCUGUAUCACUGUAGUCUUUUAAUUGAAAAAGUGGUUUUAUUUUAACAAAUUAUUAUUUUUUUAAUUUUUAUUUAUUUAUGAUAGUCACACACAGAGAGAGAGGCAGAGACAUAGGCAGAGGGAGAAGUAGGCUCCAUGCACUGGGAGCCCGAUGUGGGAUUCGAUCCCGGGUCUCCAGGAUCGCGCCCUGGGCCAAAGUCAGGUGCUAAACCACUGCACCACCCAGGGAUCCCAAAAGUGGUUUUAUUUUAGUUAAAUUCCUCGAAGUUGAGAGUGGCUGAUCUUUCAUUAAAAGUGGUUGAAGUAAAAAAAAAAAACAAAAAAGUGGUCGAAGUCUAGGGAAUAGACCAUUUUUGAAGUUCUCUUCAGUGUACUGAAGUAAUUUGCCUUUGCUUCACAUAGUUGGUAUAUCGCAUUCCUUUCUCAGAAAAGUUGUUAUCCUUGAGAGUUAAGUAAAACUGCCCCCAAAGCAUAAGCAAUACAAAAAAAAAAAAUAGGUUUUACAUUUUAAUGAAGUUUGAUUUAGGUGCUGUAAAUGAGAUCAUCAAGAAAGUGAGGAGACAACAAAAGGAGAAAAUUGUGGAGGAUCUGCUAAAGAAGAUGUACAGAAAAAAAAAAAAAAAAAGAAGAUGUACAGUUGGCCAGUAAACACAUGGAGAAGAUGCUUGGUAUCAUUAGUCAUCAAGAAAAUGUAGAUCA